Long non-coding RNA from Plectropomus leopardus (leopard coralgrouper), 482 nucleotides. RefSeq lists it as uncharacterized. The record is from RefSeq and is a predicted model, not a curated record. NCBI's taxonomy places the organism in Eukaryota, Metazoa, Chordata, Actinopteri, Perciformes, Serranidae.
GAGAGACCAGUCGAGACAAGCCAUGAAGAGAAGCUACGAGAGCGGUUCACAGAAAGAGAAGAAGAGGGAGAAAAGAACAGGAGUUUUUAACAAACCCGCCAAAGAUCCCUGACACAGUCACUACCAUCUCUCUGACAGCCAUCCUGACGUCCUGUUUGGGACCAGCGUCCACAGUCUGGACAGUCUUCCAUUGGAAAGCGUAGCUUGUACAGACCACAAACACAUCACAGUCCCCCUUUAAGUGGACCCAGUCCUGCUUUUCAUGUGGUCUUGGGCCUGUGUGACCACUGAUGGGACCAAGCUGGACCAGGUCCUCUCCAGUCUGGGUAAAUCCAUAUAUACAGCCGAUAAAAUCACAUCCUGUCGUCUUAUAUGACGUUUUCAGAGCCCAGUUGCUGUCAGAUUUUUUUUGAACAUGGUUGAUAUUUUCAACUGACAUUAAGAUGGUGUCACCAUGCGAGGCAAACUGAUAGUUAACCGUU